This 820-nucleotide ribosomal RNA is filed under the name uncultured archaeon. RNAcentral's name for it is "bacterial SSU rRNA". It matches the Rfam family "Archaeal small subunit ribosomal RNA", at positions 141 to 966 of the family's 1478-position model. The record is from RNAcentral.
UGUGACUAAACCUGAUAAGGUAAUCAUUCUGGAAGGAAGAUUACUUUAAAAGCAAUGCCCAAGGAUGAGCCGGCGGCGGAUUAGGUUGUUGGUGAGGUAACGGCUCACCAAGCCAGAGAUCCGUAGGGGCCUUGAGAGAGGUAGCCCCGAGAAGGACACUGAGAUACUGGUCCUAGCCCUAAGGGGUGCAGCAGGCGCGAAAACUUUGCAAUGCACGAAAGUGUGACAAGGGAACUCCAAGUGCUUAUACAAUGUAUAGGCUUUUGCCAAAUGUAAAUAGUUUGGCGAAUAAGUGGUGGGUAAGACGGGUGCCAGCAGCCGCGGUAACACCUGCGCCACGAGUGGCAGCCGAUAUUAUUUGGCCUAAAGCGUCCGUAGCUGGUCUUGAAAAUCUCUUGUGAAAGUGUUGGGCUCAACCUAACGAAUGGCAGGAGACACUCCAAGACUCGGAACCGGUAGGAGUCAGAAGUAUGUUAGGGGUAACGGUAAAAUGUUAUAAUCCCUAAUAGACUACCUGUGGCGAAGGCGUCUGACUAGGACGGAUUCGACAGUGAGGGACGAAAGCUAGGGGAGCGAUCCGGAUUAGAUACCCGAGUAGUCCUAGCCGUAAACACUGCGAGCAAGGUGUUGCAUAUUCUUYGUGAAUGUGCAGUAUCGAAGAGAAGUCGUUAAGCUCGCCGCCUGGGAAGUAUGGUCGCAAGACUGAAACUUAAAGGAAUUGGCGGGGGAGCACUACAAGGGGUGCGGCGUGCGGUUUAAUUCAAUUCAACGCGGGGAAUCUCACCAGAGGGGACGGCAGGAUGAAGGUCAGGCUGAAUGU